Molecule: ribosomal RNA, 438 nt
Filed under: Triticum aestivum (bread wheat)
Lineage: Eukaryota; Viridiplantae; Streptophyta; Magnoliopsida; Poales; Poaceae
Description: partial small subunit ribosomal RNA
Source: RNAcentral
AUGCGAGAUUUUCGUAAUUGUUUGGGAGAUUGUGGACUAGCAGAUAUGGGAUGUGUGGGUGACUUAUUUACAUGGAGGAGGGGCGAAAUCAGGGAAAGACUUGAUCGAGCGGUCUGUAAUGUGGAUUGUGCGAAUAAAUUCCCUCGAGCGGCGAUUAUAAACGAAGAGCAUGUACACUCAGACCAUCGCCCUAUUAUUUUAGACACGGAGUAUUUUGACGAUAAUAUUUUUGACAGCUCAAAAACUCGAAGGAGACAAUUUGAAGCUCGAUGGCUGAAAGAAGAGACGGUUACAGCAGUUGUACGUACAGCUUGGGAAAAAGCGAAGAUGUUGGGCAUAGGGCCGUCUCUCGCUGAUCGUACACGAGCGGUACACGCAGAUUUGCAUACUUGGGAUCGUGAUAUCCUCAAGGGUCCGAAAAAAGAAUUAAAAAAUUAA